CUCCCAUGUAAACUUUCAAGCCAGAAUCUGCACCCAACUUAGAUGCGAGGACAGUUGCAGCAGCUGCCUUUGCUGCCGGAUCUGGAUCAUAUCUCUGAAUGAGUUGUUGUGUAGUGUAGUAAUUUGUCUUCUCUUUAAGUUCGUCAAUUUUUGCUUGCCUCUCAGCUCGCAACCUUCCAAGAGUUUCAUGAUCCUUUCGAUCACACAUAGUCAUGAAGCUCACAAAUGCUGAAUAAGCAAGGAAUGAUAUACCAGGCAAAAGAAACAUAGGCAUGACCCGAAAUGCCCUCAUCUUCCAAUUCAAAUC
This 307-nucleotide unclassified non-coding RNA is filed under the name Hevea brasiliensis (rubber tree). The record is from RNAcentral. Lineage: Eukaryota; Viridiplantae; Streptophyta; Magnoliopsida; Malpighiales; Euphorbiaceae.